CAGCCGCCACGGUAAUACGAAGGGAGCAAGCGUUAAUCGGAAUUACUGGGCGUAAAGCGUGCGUAGGCGGUUUGUUAAGUCUGUUGUGAAAUCCCCGGGCUCAACCUGGGAAUGGCAAUGGAUACUGGCAAGCUAGAGUGUGUCAGAGGAUGGUGGAAUUCCCGGUGUAGCGGUGAAAUGCGUAGAGAUCGGGAGGAACAUCAGUGGCGAAGGCGGCCAUCUGGGACAACACUGACGCUGAGGCACGAAAGCGUGGGGAGCAAACAGGAUUAGAUACCCCUGUAGUCCCUGUCUCUUAUAA
RNAcentral lists this ribosomal RNA (301 nucleotides) under uncultured bacterium. RNAcentral's name for it is "partial 16S ribosomal RNA". It matches the Rfam family "Bacterial small subunit ribosomal RNA", at positions 509 to 809 of the family's 1533-position model. The record is from RNAcentral.